Molecule: long non-coding RNA, 716 nt
Organism: Oncorhynchus keta (chum salmon)
Lineage: Eukaryota; Metazoa; Chordata; Actinopteri; Salmoniformes; Salmonidae
Exons: 4
Source: RefSeq, a predicted model, not a curated record
UCCACUGAAUAUAUUAUUAUCUGUAUAGAAUUGGUAUAGGGAGGUGUAUAGUCCACUGAAGAUAUUAUUAUCUGUAUAGAAUUGGUAUAGGGAGGUGUAUAGUCCACUGAAGAUAUUAAUAUCUGUAUAGAAUUGGUAUAGGGAGGUGUAUUGUCCACUGAAUAUAUUAUUAUCUGUAUAGAAUUGGUAUAGGGAGGUGUAUAGUCCACUGAAGAUAUUAUUAUCUGUAUAGAAUUGGUAUAGGGAGGUGUAUAGUCCACUGAAGAUAUUAAUAUCUGUAUAGAAUUGGUAUAGGGAGGUGUAUUGUCCACUGAAUAUAUUAUUAUCUGUAUAGAAUUGGUAUAGGGAGGUGUAUUGUCCACUGAAUAUAUUAUUAUCUGUAUAGAAUUGGUAUAGGGAGGUGUAUUGUCCACUGAAUAUAUUAUUAUCUGUAUAGAAUUGGUAUAGGGAGGUGUAUAGUCCACAGAAGAUAUUAAUAUCUGUAUAGAACUGGUAUAGGGAGGUGUAUAGUCCACAGAAGAUAUUAAUAUCUGUAUAGAACUGGUAUAGGGAGGUGUAUAGUCCACUGAAUAUAUUAUUAUCUGUAUAGAAUUGGUAUAGGGAGGUGUAUAGUCCACUGAAGAUAUUAUUAUCUGUAUAGAAUUGGUAUAGGGAGGUGUAUAGUCCACUGAAGAUAUUAAUAUCUGUAUAGAACUGGUAUAGGGAGGUGUAUAGUC